This 75-nucleotide transfer RNA is filed under the name Bacillota bacterium. Its description in RNAcentral is "Firmicutes bacterium (anaerobic digester metagenome) tRNA-Val". It matches the Rfam family "tRNA". Rfam says of the family: Transfer RNA (tRNA) molecules are approximately 80 nucleotides in length. Their secondary structure includes four short double-helical elements and three loops (D, anti-codon, and T loops). The record is from RNAcentral. Lineage: Bacteria; Bacillati; Bacillota.
GUGCCCGUAGCUCAGUGGGAGAGCGCCUGCUUGACGCGCAGGAGGUCGUAAGUUCAAUCCUUACCGGGCACACCA